This is a long non-coding RNA of Pteropus alecto (black flying fox), 2387 nucleotides long. RefSeq lists it as uncharacterized. The record is from RefSeq and is a predicted model, not a curated record. Lineage: Eukaryota; Metazoa; Chordata; Mammalia; Chiroptera; Pteropodidae. The transcript has 2 exons.
GUCCACUUAGUCAUACUGCUCUGCUCAAAGCAAGGAUCCCAGACACUCUGCCCAUCCCUCUGGAGGACAGACAAUGAGAUGUCAAGAUCCUGGAACCCAGUGCUGUUUGUGCCAACCAGUUGAUGGAGCCUGUACAAAUCUUCCCUUAGGAGCGUGAGAGGACCUGCAAUCUUAGAGACAAGAGUGCUUUCUUCUCCUAGGUAACUGUAGUUGCCUCAAGAUAGGUAAGUCUCUGGCUCCUAAUCUAGCCCUGUGCACGCAGCUACUGGGCAUUCUCUAAGAUGGACUAGGCACCCAGGCUCCUCCCUCCAUGUGGAGAUCCUGAGUCUGAGAAUGGGGUGGGGGAACAGUUGCUGUUUCUAGGUUCCUCUCCCUUGGUUUUGAAUGAACCCACAGAGUAGUAAAGCCUGGUCAGGUGAUUCCCUACUUUAAAACCUUUAAGAACUCUUCAUUGCCUCCAGAAUAAAACUCAAGUCCCCAAGUAUGGUUCAAGGUGCUCAGGAAUCUGAUGCCCCUGUCCUUAUCUCUCAUCACUGCCCAAUCCCACCCAACCCUGGUGACUCUCUCAAGCCUCAGGAACUUUACUUUGGAAGUUUUUGCUGGCUGGGACAUCCUUCUUCACCCAGAGGGUCCCAAUUUCAAUACUGUCUUUGUCAUAAAGCUGUCCCUGAGCUCUUCCUCCCUACAAAGCAUUUACAUCAGUACUUUUACAAUUAUGUUAUAUUGUAGUUUUGUUUCCCAUCAGCAUAUUAAUUAGUGUGUGAAACUGGAAGGCAAGGACUGGCUCUUGGAGACUCCAGUGUAUCCUCAGCAUUAUUACAGAGCCUGGCACAUAGUAGCUACUCGACAACUGCUUGUGAACCCAAACUAAAAAAACCCAAGCUUGAUCUCUCUCCUCAAAAAUGCCCUUCUAAGCUUAUACAGCUUUAUAUGCUUAUAAUCAGUUUGCAAUGCUAUUUUUGUCUUUUGCUUUAUUCAAUUACUAUUUUAAAUAAAUAUUUCUGACAUACUGCUGUCACUUCAACAGUAUGCAGUUUUCUAGCAAUAGAGGCUGAAUGGCGUCUCAGUGGUGAACUCUGAUGCUAGAGUCAGAGACCAGCUGGGGAAGGUUUGCCCUGUUAUUUAAGCGCCAUGUGGUUAAUUAAGAGCCCCAUACCAUGCCUUAUGCAUCUCUUCUACCUGCCUAUUCUUGAGUUAUAUCUUUUUAUAAUAAACCAAUAUAGUUAAAAAAAUAAAUAAAAAGACUAUGUGCCCUUAGGCAAGUGACAUCAUCACUCCCUGGCUCAGUCUCUUCAACUGUAAGAUGUGGUGAUAACAGUACUUACUUCAAAGACUCAUUGUGGGGAUUAAAUCCAGUAAAGUAUAUCAAGGGAGUGGUCAAGAAGUUACAGUAACUGGCUAAACCACAUUUGCUUGGGCCUCUUUGGCUUGUUUCAGCUGUUCACUCUUCUGAGGAGUGUUCAGAGGACAUUGGAAUGUGGUUAUUUCCAUCCCAGACACUACAGACACUGAAUCUCUGAACCAACCUGGGACAUUCAGUGCCUAGCAAUGCCUAAAACUUGGUAAUAAACCACCGGAAUGUAUCAUUCCUCCUUUUAUAGCAGUCCCCCUCCCCAAAUCCCCUUUUAUAGUUAAGAGCCCAGACUUGCUGUCACAUCAGCAUCUUCCCCAAGUCCUGACCACAGCCUGUCUCUCGUUCCUCCUCAAUACCUCUUAGCCUGUCUCCCUUCCCUCCUUUUCCAUGGCCUAGUCCAGGCUCUUCACUGGGCACCUGUAGUACUAAGUCUUUCAAUGAGAUUUACUGAGCCAUUAUUAUACUCUAGGCCAGCUGAGAAUCCAAUAAAUGAAACUGACAAGAUCCUCAAGGAGCUUGUUUGACGAACAAAACAAAUAAGCAAAAUAAAUGUGUGUACAAAUUAAAUAUUACAUAUAUUCCCCCAGUUCUCCAUUCCUAAUAAUAUAGCUAAACAUGGGGUCCUUCUAGGCAUUAGGCACUGUGACAGGUGUCUCACAGACUGUUCUAAUUCUUCUGACACUGGAAGAAUGUUACAGGUCACAUUUUUCUCUUACAGGACACUGAAGUCGAGAGAGGUCAUCUGGUCCAGGUGGAAGCCAGACACUUGCCCAGGACUGCCGACUAUGAAGUCCCUGCUCCUUCCACUGCACUACACUGUCUCCUCCAGCUUGCCUCAUUGUGGCCGAUUCACUGCAGCCAGAACUGUCUUACAGUGUGUGUUAAACAGAACAGGACUCACAAAUGUUUUUUGGUUGAAUGGUCAUGCCUGAAUACAAGAAUUAUUUCUGGAGAUUAGUACAUCUUUACUUUUGCAAAAUUAAAACCAAGUAGCUCUGCAAGAUUCUCUUGCUUUAAGAGCCUAGAAAACUGA